UGGGGAAUUUUGGACAAUGGGCGCAAGCCUGAUCCAGCCAUGCCGCGUGCAGGAUGAAGGCCUUCGGGUUGUAAACUGCUUUUGUACGGAACGAAAAGGUGCCUUCUAAUAAAGGGCGCUCAUGACGGUACCGUAAGAAUAAGCACCGGCUAACUACGUGCCUGCAGCCGCGGUAAUACGUAGGGUGCGAGCGUUAAUCGGAAUUACUGGGCGUAAAGCGUGCGCAGGCGGUUUUGUAAGACAGAGGUGAAAUCCCCGGGCUCAACCUGGGAACUGCCUUUGUGACUGCAAGGCUGGAGUGCGGCAGAGGGGGAUGGAAUUCCGCGUGUAGCAGUGAAAUGCGUAGAUAUGCGGAGGAACACCGAUGGCGAAGGCAAUCCCCUGGGCCUGCACUGACGCUCAUGCACGAAAGCGUGGGGAGCAAACA
RNAcentral lists this ribosomal RNA (427 nucleotides) under uncultured bacterium. Its description in RNAcentral is "bacterial SSU rRNA". It matches the Rfam family "Bacterial small subunit ribosomal RNA", at positions 355 to 774 of the family's 1533-position model. The record is from RNAcentral.